GAUGAACGCUAGCUACAGGCUUAACACAUGCAAGUCGAGGGGAAACGGCAUUGAGUGCUUGCACUCUUUGGACGCCGACCGGCGCACGGGUGAGUAACGCGUAUCCAACCUUCCCAUUACUGUGGGAUAACCUGCCGAAAGGCAGACUAAUAUCGCAUAGUCUUCGAUGACGGCAUCAGAUUUGAAGUAAAGAUUUAUCGGUAAUGGAUGGGGAUGCGUCUGAUUAGCUUGUUGGCGGGGUAACGGCCCACCAAGGCGACGAUCAGUAGGGGUUCUGAGAGGAAGGUCCCCCACAUUGGAACUGAGACACGGUCCAAACUCCUACGGGAGGCAGCAGUGAGGAAUAUUGGUCAAUGGACGGAAGUCUGAACCAGCCAAGUAGCGUGCAGGAUGACGGCCCUAUGGGUUGUAAACUGCUUUUGUAUGGGGAUAAAGUUAGGGACGUGUCCCUAUUUGCAGGUACCAUACGAAUAAGGACCGGCUAAUUCCGUGCCAGCAGCCGCGGUAAUACGGAAGGUCCAGGCGUUAUCCGGAUUUAUUGGGUUUAAAGGGAGCGUAGGCUGGAGAUUAAGUGUGUUGUGAAAUGUAGACGCUCAACGUCUGAAUUGCAGCGCAUACUGGUUUCCUUGAGUACGCACAACGUUGGCGGAAUUCGUCGUGUAGCGGUGAAAUGCUUAGAUAUGNCGAAGAACUCCGAUUGCGAAGGCAGCUGACGGGGGCGCAACUGACGCUUAAGCUCGAAGGUGCGGGUAUCGAACAGG
RNAcentral lists this ribosomal RNA (761 nucleotides) under Prevotella melaninogenica. Its description in RNAcentral is "bacterial SSU rRNA". It matches the Rfam family "Bacterial small subunit ribosomal RNA", at positions 28 to 776 of the family's 1533-position model. The record is from RNAcentral. Lineage: Bacteria; Pseudomonadati; Bacteroidota; Bacteroidia; Bacteroidales; Prevotellaceae.